This is a long non-coding RNA of Mobula hypostoma (lesser devil ray), 722 nucleotides long. RefSeq lists it as uncharacterized. The record is from RefSeq and is a predicted model, not a curated record. NCBI's taxonomy places the organism in Eukaryota, Metazoa, Chordata, Chondrichthyes, Myliobatiformes, Myliobatidae. The transcript is spliced from 3 exons.
UUGGAUUACAUCUGUCAAAACAUUCGAUUGCUUGUCUUUGCGACCUUGUUUUCUCAUGUUUUAUCGAGGUACACACUUGCCUGACACUUUCUGUUCAGUGUGGACGAUACCAGUUGAAACACAGCUGAAGAAGACAUUGAGCUUUGCUGUUCUAAUCGUCUUCCAAGAGAGAUCAAAUAACAAGACUCCUUGGAACUAAAGAAUGGAACUUCAUCAAGAUGAGAACAAGGCCCAAUCUGAUAACUUCGAGCUGGCGCAGAGCAGUGAGUGUAAACAGCGGAGUGUCCCUGAAGAGCUACUGUCUGAACUGCAGUAAGAGAUUAAUCUCUGUGGUGUCAGAAGGCCUCUUCGAUAUGAAAAGAUCUAUAGAGCUUACCAACAUCUAUUAGGAGGAGCUGAAAUUACAAGCUGUCAUAUGCUAAAGUUCAUGGAAACAAGUUCACGACUUUUGACUGUAGUGAGGGUGGAAUUAUUUUUUGAAGUUUGCCUGUUGAGUAUUUAUCUAUAUGGUGCCACAAUAUAUACAACACAUAGUAAAGCAAAUCAUACAGAAUGAGAUGCUUAAAGGGGAAAUAUUUUCUGUGUUUCAAAAUCUACCUAGUGGAUUGCUGUUAGAGUUUGUCUCCUUAAGUUGCCACCGAGGGAAGAAAACACUUUUUAAACGAUAAAAAUAAGAUUGAAGCAGUUGGUGAAAUGAUGCAAAAAUACAAACACUAAUUGAA